GGUGGCUUGGUGGUAGAGUGCUUGCCUAGCAUGCAUGAAGCCCUGGGUUCGAUUCCCCAGUACCA
RNAcentral lists this transfer RNA (65 nucleotides) under Dipodomys ordii (Ord's kangaroo rat). It matches the Rfam family "tRNA". From Rfam's summary of the family: Transfer RNA (tRNA) molecules are approximately 80 nucleotides in length. Their secondary structure includes four short double-helical elements and three loops (D, anti-codon, and T loops). Lineage: Eukaryota; Metazoa; Chordata; Mammalia; Rodentia; Heteromyidae. The record is from Rfam by way of RNAcentral.